This 1025-nucleotide long non-coding RNA is filed under the name Monodelphis domestica (gray short-tailed opossum). RNAcentral's name for it is "lncRNA (ENSMODG00000048335.1)". The record is from RNAcentral. Lineage: Eukaryota; Metazoa; Chordata; Mammalia; Didelphimorphia; Didelphidae.
GCAGCGUCCCCAAGAGCAGCCACAACCCCAAGAAGGCACCCAAGAGCAGCACCAUUUCAAAGAGAGGAAACAUUCCCAAGAGUGCCCCCAUGAGCGGCGCCAUUCCAAAAAGUCGCUGCUUCCCCAAGAGCAGCCACAGUGCAAUUCCCAAAAGUCACAGCAUCCCCAGAGGCAGCCAUGGACCCAAGAGGGACCCGAAUAGGGGCGUCAUUCCAAAGAGCAGAAACAUUCCCAAGAGUGCCCCAAAGAGUGGCACAUUCCAAAGAGCAGCCACACUCACAAGAGCAUCCCCCAGAGCAGCUCCACUCCAAAAAUCCACAGCAGCCUCAGCCCCAAGAACACCCCCAUGGUCAGCCACAAUCCCAAGAGGGGCACCAUGCCAAAGAGUCGCAGCAUCACCAAGAGCAGCCACAGCCCCAAAAGGGCCCCGAAGAGCGGCGCCAUUCCAAAGAGAGGGCACAUUUCCAAGAGCAGCUCCAUUCCAAAGAGGGGCCACUCUCCCAAGAGCGGCGCUAUUCCAAAGAGAGGCCAUACUCCCAAGAGCAAGACCAAGAGCGGCACCAUUCCAAAGAUCGGCCACACUCCCAAGAGCACCCCCAAAUGGGUUGCCAUUCCAAAAAGCUACAGCUUUCCCAAGAGCAGCCACAGCCCCAAGAGGGCCCCUAGGACAGGUACCAUUCCAAGGAGCUGCGCCAUUCCAAGAAGUCUCAGCAUCCCCAAGAGCAGCCAAGGCACCAUUCCAAAAAGUCACAGCAUCCCCAAGAGCAGCCACAGCCCCAAGAACUCCCCCAAGAACGAUGUCAUUCCAAAAUGUUGCACAAUCCCCAAGAGCAGCCACCCUCCGAAGAGCACCACCAAGAGCUGCGCCAUUCCAAAAAUCUGCAGCUUCCCCAAGAACAGCCACAGCCCAAAUGGCCCCCAAGAGUGGCGCCAUUCCAAAGAUCGGCCACACUCCCAAGAGCAUCCCGAAGAGCGGCACCAUUCCAAAAAGUCGCAGCGUCCCCAAGAGGGCCCCCAAGUCUUGA